AGUAGUCUUAAUCCUGUUUGACGGACUGCACUUGGGACCUUGCGCUUGAGGCAGGCAGCAGAACCACUGAGCUAAAUCCCUGACCUCCAACUCCAUAAUCAAAGACCAGGAUCAGAUUGAACCUCUGUGGAUUUGAAAGUGCCAGAACCAGCACCCUACCCUAAUCCGACUGCAGGUUUGCUGGGCUCUGGGCUCUGACUGCCUCCUUAGUCUACCAGCAAGAGCAGAGUGACACCCUGAACUGGACACUGCCAUAAAACUACAGACUCCAAAAGGACUUUGCACCGAGAGGUUCCAGGAGGACAUAACAUCACAGCUUUAGAAGCUGGUCUGGGCACAGGCACAGAUUUCCUACAAAAACCAGAGGCUCAAAAGGAAUUAAGGAAAGCCUGUAUCUUCCCUAUAAUCCCAGCUUUUAUUGAAGUAGAAGGUCGACUGGAAAUAAAAGUCACAUUGAUUUCCUUGAGAAAACACAUCACUGUAUUAAAAAAAAAAA
This 496-nucleotide long non-coding RNA is filed under the name Fukomys damarensis (Damara mole-rat). RNAcentral describes it as "lncRNA (ENSFDAG00000023794.1)". Lineage: Eukaryota; Metazoa; Chordata; Mammalia; Rodentia; Bathyergidae. The record is from RNAcentral.